UUUCCCGCCUCGUUCGGUACCCGCAACACUACUGUAGUAUUGUUUCGAAAUCAAUCCCCCCUUCUCUGUCUCAUUCCGCCAAAUCUCUCCACUGCGUCUCACUUCUCUGUGACUCUCAUGUUAAAAAUCAUAAGAUAAAAUCGAGCUCACCGAUUAUCACCGCCGAAUAAUCCAUUCUUGCGGUAUACAUUUCAUACCUUUUUGGCUGAAGCAACAUGAUGGAGGUGGAUACACGGCAGAAAUUACAAGAUGAUCAAAUGAGUGACUGUCGCAGCUUUGGCGGCAAUUGUCGUCCAUCUAGCCAGUCUAGAAAGAUUUCGAUUGGAAUUCUGAUUGACUCAACGUGGAAGAAAGGAUCUGGAGGCGCUAAGGAAAAUGAAGCUGCAGUACCAAACACAGAAAGGGUAAAUUCUAAGAAAGAAAGUUCAGUUGAAGGUAAAAAUAUGGGAAAAGGUGCUUUUGAUGCUACUAAAGGCAACCAAACUGAAGCUCCUGAGCAGGUCCAUUCCCCUUGGAUUACUACAAGAUCCUUUGACCAAAAAUUGCCAGCUUCUGAGGGUGUCCUUUACGCAGUAGAAACUUCCAAUUUACCUGGUUCUACUGGAAGAAGGAACAAGAUUAGCAGAGUAAAGAAUGUGCCUGUAACGCACUCGGUAGAGUUUUUUGCCAACCAACCAUCAAAUUCACAUUCUGGUGAUUUAAAGCAGAAGUUUAGUGGAUUCACCUACAAAAGGAAGGGCGGAAAGUAUAGAAACUCAAAUUCAGAAGAGGAAUUUACAUUUGCAACUGAAAAAGAAGGCACCAUGCAAGAUAUAGCAGUGACUGAUGAUAAGACAGAAGAGAGAAGAACUGAAACUUUGAAAAUGAAACUAUGGGAAAUACUGGGAAAUGUUUCUUCACCGAAAAGUCAGCCAUCUAAUUCUCAGGCUCAUCAGAUUGGUGUCAAUAAUUUAAAUCAGAAGCAAAUUCUUGAUCAAACAGAUGAUGUAGUUGUCAAGCCUAGACAGAGCUCAGAUACCAUAGAAACUGAUUCUGAAACUCCUGAUCAUACUAUGAAGAGACCAGUGACUCGUUCCUUGACCCAAAAAAGAGCUUCAACCAAACAGAAACCAGAGAAAACUGAAGUUGAUCCAUCCUCCAGUCACAGGCAAAAAAUUCAAGAGAAGGAUGUCUACUCCUUCGAAGAAGGAUUGCUUGGAAAACAAAAUGUUGCUGUCAAUGAUGGCUCUUCAAUGUCUACAAGGAAGAAGGGCCAGAUAAAGUGUUGCAGCAUCAAACCACGUAAGAUUCACUUCAGUGAAGACAACAAUGGAGAUGAGAUUCAGGAAGGAAGUCACAAGAGUGAAAUAUCACUCCCUGCUGAGAAAAUGUCUUCUCAUAGCAAUAAAAUGGGAAAUAUCCAUGGUUCUCAGAAUAAGAGAGACUACUGUGAACCAAAGAAUAGAAACAAAGAAAGAGAUCCCCAUCAAUCUGCAAGGAAAACACCUUUCCCUGCUGAGAAAGCAUCUUCUCUUAGCAACAAAAUGGGAGAUUUUCAUGGUUCUUGUAGGAAUAAGAGAGAAUACACUGAACCGAAGAAUAGAAACCAAGAAAGAGAUUCCCAUAAAUCUGCAAGCGAAGACUCCCACCAGUCUUUAUGGACACUCAGGACUGGUCAACAGAAGGAUUUUAGCAGCUCCGCAGUACCUGAACAUGGGGAUCAACAAGAAAAAUUUGAUCCUCCCUCCUCAAAUAGCGCUGUUGAUCCUCAGAAUGAUUUCCAGAGUCCACCAUUCAAAAUCAAUUCCUGUACCUUAAGCUCCCCCCCAAGCUCAAUGCCAAAAUAUGACCAGAUAAAACAGGUUUUUGGCAGUCCUGAACAAGCAGUGAGAAACUUUACUGUGGGAAAAAUAAAUAGCUUCAGGACUUUGUGGACUUCAAAGGCAGAUUGUUUUGCCUCAAAUAGUCAAACAGAAUCGCCUGAUGUUGCAGCAGAAAUUAUGGAUUCCCCACCCAGCAAAACAUCACCUCUUAAGGGGGGAAAAGAUGUGGAAGGUGGUCUUUUUGAAUCAUCAUCUGAAGAUGGAUACUCUGAGAGCUCUGAAGAAGGUUCACCAAUUGUUAAGGGUCAUAGAGAAGGAGAUAACUUCUCUCCAGAAAUUGCAACUGCUGACAGAUCAAAAUUCAUGCUUCAUCCAACUAAAAGGCUCCGCAACCACAAUGUUGAAAAACUCAGAAAAUUUAGUCCCACAUCACCCUCUCCAACAGGCAUUGUUGAAACUGAGCUCACUCCUGAGAUUUCAGAACAAAACCAAGGGAAUGAACUGGAAAGGGCCAUUAUGCUGUUCGCCACAGCUUUAGAAAACUUCAAAAAGAAAAUGAAGUUGGAGACUAGAAAGAAAUCCUCGGACAUUUUGAUGUCUGUCUCAGAGGAGAUACGUCUACAGUUGAAGAAUAUUGAGUCGCAAAUCCAAACAGAUCUGGGGAAGCUGUCAAGUGUUAGUAAAUCAAAAAGGAGACGCCUGGAGUCAAGAUUUGAAGAACAACAAGAGGAACUAAAGUUGAUACAUGAUAAAUUCAAACAAGAUAUUUAUCAGCAUCUCCAGGAGUGUAAAACCACGCUUGAAGGACUAGAAUUGCACCAGAUUGACUUCAACGGAACUGUGAAAAAGCGAAAAGCAUCACACCAGAAGCUUCUUAUGCAAGCGGAAGAAGCAGUGAAGACACAGCUAGAUGGUGCACAAAGAAGAAUCACAGCUGUGCAAAAGUUGGCAAGGGAAAAGACGCUCCAGUUGAAGUAUGUUGUAGCCGAGUGCUUGAAUGAGGGUGUUCUAAGUUGACGAGGUUUUUUAACUGAUGGCUAACAAGAUGGGGACUUUGUACAGAGAUCAGAAUUAGGAAGAGGCCGAAGGUUUUACGAGUUUCCUAGAGACCACUACUUCUCAAUAGAAAGAAAAGGAAAAGGUUAAAAAUUUGUGAGAGCUUCAAGAGAGUAUUUGAUGUGGGGCAUGUGGUGUGAAGAGCUCACGGAUAAGUUUGAUAGACAAAAGCUCAAGAAGACGUUGUGGAAGGUAAGCAUGCAUUGUUGCUUUGAUGGGUUAUAACUGUGCCUGAUUGAUGCAACAUAUAAUCCGAAAAGCUAAGUAUGUCGGAGGCCAACAAAUAGCGGAGUGUUGAAGGCUAUCCAGGCUGUGAUUUUGUUUCGUCAGUCGGUCGGUGUCCGGGGAGGGAAAAGGGCGCAUCCCAGAUAGGAAAACAAAGAGGCACGUGAACCACCACGCGUGCACACGUGAAGUGCAAACCUUUUAUUUUAUUUUUAUGAAGAAUUAGGGAUUUAUAUUAUUUUGUAAGAUUAUAUAAUCUACAUUUGAUAUUCCUUUUUAUUUUACUGUUAUGAGAUAUUGUUUGA
Molecule: RNA transcript, 3388 nt
Organism: Populus trichocarpa (black cottonwood)
Lineage: Eukaryota; Viridiplantae; Streptophyta; Magnoliopsida; Malpighiales; Salicaceae
Gene name: meiosis-specific protein ASY3
Exons: 13
Source: RefSeq, a predicted model, not a curated record